RNAcentral lists this long non-coding RNA (633 nucleotides) under Neogobius melanostomus (round goby). Its description in RNAcentral is "lncRNA (ENSNMLG00000000519.1)". Lineage: Eukaryota; Metazoa; Chordata; Actinopteri; Gobiiformes; Gobiidae. The record is from RNAcentral.
AUGGCUCCUCCCCCCUCGCCGUGCCUCCUCUGCGCCUCCCUCCCGCGCCUCAUCUCCUCGCUCCUCGCCCUGCACCAGCGGGAGAUGAAGCGGCUGCUGGAGGGCGCCAUGGCAACGGUGGAGCGCCGGCUGAGCGCCCUGGAGGAGGCGGAGCCGGCGGCCGGUCCCAGCCAAUCGGGGAAGAGGAGGCGGCGGAGGGAGGAGAAGGAGACGAGGAGGAAACGCAGGAAGAACGGCCAAUCAGAGGAGAGCGCCGUCUCCGAGAGCCAAUCAGGGGAGAGCGCAUUCGCCGAGGGCCAAUCAGAGAAGAGCGUGUGUGCUGUCGUCAGGCGGAACGGGUUCUCGUCCCAUGAUCCUCUGGGGGCGACGGGGACGUGGCGUUUCUCAGACUCCGCCCCUCGCUCGUAUCGCCGUGGCGACGCGAGGGCGGCGCUGUCGUGGCUGCUGACGUCGCCCGGACACGCCCCCGUGCGGUUGCCUUGGCGCCUGUCGGUGGUCGCCGUGGAGACGUCGACGGGCGCCACCCUGAGCGGCGUCGGGCGGCUCCGGAGCGCCCCCUGCAGGACCACAGCGCACCACCGUACAUCGCCGUGGACCACAGUUACAUGUGUCUGUCUGCGCCCAGCCUGGUGA